This 277-nucleotide long non-coding RNA is filed under the name Lathyrus oleraceus (garden pea). Its description in RNAcentral is "Pisum sativum (pea) long non-coding RNA (PSAT_LNC008203)". The record is from RNAcentral. Lineage: Eukaryota; Viridiplantae; Streptophyta; Magnoliopsida; Fabales; Fabaceae.
UUUGAUUUGCAUUAAUCGAAAUCGAUCGAUAAAUGAUAAGUCUUAAAAAUGCCACUUGACUUUGAAUCUAGGAUUUUUAAUAUUGAAAAUAUUCAGUUUAAUUACCGGUUACUUAUUUAAUUUAUUAAAAUAAUUAAUAAAAUAAAUAAAAUGAUAGAAGAAAAUAUUAAAACGAUUGGGGCAAAGUAAAGUAUGAUGGGAUGAAGAAAAUAGUAAAGAUAAACAAACAUGGACCAAAGGCCCAAACACAAUCAAAAUAAAAAACAAAUAAAAAAAG